AUACGAGGGGUGCAAACGUUAUUCGGAAUCACUGGGCGUAAAGGGUGCGUAGACGGCAAGAUAAGUCAAUCAUUAAAUCUCCUGGCUUAACUAGGAAAAUGUGGUUGAAACUGACUUGCUUGAGGAUGGAAGAGAGAAGUGGAAUUCUCGGAGUAGCGGUAAAAUGCGUAGAUCUCGAGAGGAACACCGAUGGCGAAGGCAGCUUCUUGGUCCAUUUCUGACGUUGAGGCACGAAAGCGUGGGGAGCAAACAGGAUUAGAUACCCUGGUAGUCCACGCUGUAAACGAUGAUCAUUAGAUGUUGGGUCCGCUUUAGGGCUCAGUGUCGCAGCUAACGCGUUAAAUGAUCCGCCUGGGAAGUACGGUCGCAAGAUUAAG
This 377-nucleotide ribosomal RNA is filed under the name uncultured bacterium. RNAcentral describes it as "bacterial SSU rRNA". It matches the Rfam family "Bacterial small subunit ribosomal RNA", at positions 523 to 898 of the family's 1533-position model. The record is from RNAcentral.